AUUCUAUUGCCCUCUCGGCUUGCACCCUUUGAAGAAGGAAGCUGCCAUGCUGGAAAGGCUCAUGAGCCAAGAAAUUGAGGACAGGUUCUGGCCAACAGUCAGUGAAGAACUGAGGCCCUUAGUCCAUCAGCCCAUGAGGAACUGCAUCCUGUCACUGACCACAUGAGCUUGGAAUCAAAUUCCUCAUCCCGCUGAGUCUUGAGAUAACUCUACUCCCAAAAGUCACCUUGACUGAGUGACCCUGAAGUAGAAGACCACAGUUGGAACCCUCUUGCUGGACAAGAGUUCCUGGCAGACGUGCCCCCCCACAAGUGGCGACCACGAAGGGACCUGGACAUUGAGGAUAUCGGUGAUGCAAGAGAGUGAGUGGCUGCAGCAGUAAGUUUGGUUUUUCUCGUAAGUAAGCUUUCUAUUUUUGAUUUUGUACAAUAUUAAUUAAAUUUUCUCUAUCUUUGUUGUACAUACAAUUCAGGAUAAAUGUGAUUUCUGAGUUUCAUCUUGAGUAAAAAUGGGGCAACUUGAGUCUAUGGAACAUAAGUUGUUUGUGCAUUUGUUGCAGUCUAUGAUAAAGUCUCAGGGUCAUGAUGUUAAACUUAAACUGUUGGAAGAAUUUUUGGAAAUAAUCCGUGAGAUCUGUCCUUGGGUCCCAGAAGGUGGUGUUUUAGAUGAAUCAGCAUGGACUAUUAUUGGGGAAAAAAUUGAUCAAUUCUGUUUUUACAACAAGGAUAUGCCACAGUCUGCCGUUUUACUUUCUGUUUGGAGUAAGCUGCGUGGUUGUGUUUGUCCUUCCCUGCCCUCCGCUCCACCCUAUACCUCCACUGCUUCUCUCCAAAAGCAACCUACAAGUCAGCUUUCUGCUCCGCUGAAUCCAGAGGGUGCUGAAGUUCCUCCCGUACCUCCAGGACAUGAGGAAAUGGCAGAGUGGGGCCCUUAUAGUCAUCACAGUCAGCAGACGCCCCCCUGUGGGUUCCUGAACGCUUGGUGA
Molecule: long non-coding RNA, 985 nt
Filed under: Callithrix jacchus (white-tufted-ear marmoset)
Lineage: Eukaryota; Metazoa; Chordata; Mammalia; Primates; Cebidae
Description: lncRNA (ENSCJAG00000079321.1)
Source: RNAcentral